CAAGAGGUAUUUUAACUUUAGAAUUCUGGCUUUGGAGGUCAGCGGCGAGGGUGAAAAUCUCUCCUUUUUGA
This 71-nucleotide transfer RNA is filed under the name Onychodactylus fischeri (Fischer's clawed salamander). RNAcentral describes it as "tRNA-Pro". It matches the Rfam family "tRNA". From Rfam's summary of the family: Transfer RNA (tRNA) molecules are approximately 80 nucleotides in length. The record is from RNAcentral. Lineage: Eukaryota; Metazoa; Chordata; Amphibia; Caudata; Hynobiidae. RNAcentral also lists the same sequence under 2 other names.